Molecule: long non-coding RNA, 1416 nt
Organism: Spinacia oleracea (spinach)
Lineage: Eukaryota; Viridiplantae; Streptophyta; Magnoliopsida; Caryophyllales; Amaranthaceae
Exons: 3
Source: RefSeq, a predicted model, not a curated record
AGAAUCAAACCUACUUCCAAUUUCAAUGUUCAUAAACCAAAAACCAUGAGAAUUAAUCAUCUUACUACCUCCGUUUCAGAAAGUUUUUUACGCUUUGGAAAAUGUGUCCAAAGUAUGAAAACUUUGAUCGUAAAUUCCCACUAUUAUAUACAUCAAAAUGUUACAUGUAAGAUCUUGUGAGAUUGGUCUCGUUAUUCAUUUUGAGAAUAUUAACUUUUUAUAAUUUUUUUCCAUACAAAAUUGGAUAUAUUAACAGUCAAACAAUGUAUCGGAGUCCGUGCAAAUAGUAAGUGUAAAGAUCUUUUUGAAACGGAGGAAGUAUAUCCCUGUAAUUUUGAAUUUUGAACAACCACCACCACUAACCACCGUGAGCAACACCCCUGCAAACCAAUGCACCACCAAGCCCCGUCAUCUGGUAGCUAUGGACGACCACCAGCACCACCUCCACACUGCAAACCCACCCCCCCUCGUCUUUCUCUUCUUCUUCCCCGACUCCCCUGCCUGUCCCUCCUUCUGCGCGACCCACCGCCCGAAAAUAAGUCAGCAGCGCCCAUUUAUGGCGUCUGCCUCGCCUGCGCCGACGCGCCACCCAGGCAUAGCCGCCGCCCCUCCUUCCUUCCUCCCUUCCUUUUCUCUUUUCUCCUUCGUACCCUGCUUCCUGUUUCUUGCUUUGCUUCGUUCCAAUUUUUCCAAGAGAACCAAACUUUGGAGCUUUAUUUCUUCUAAUCUAAUUAUUUUAAGUCAGCCCAUUACCAACAAAUUCAGCCCAACAUUUACCUAAGUGGAAAUCGGACUCGGAGCUCAGAAGGAACGAACCAAGGAAAAAGCUUAGUAAAUCACAGAAUUGAGGUACUGCGGGGAACGAUGGAAACGAUUAGUGGCGAGGAAUUUCACCAUUAUAAUAUUCACUUAGUUUAUGCUUUAAGUUUUAAUAGUUUAAUUAAAGAUUUUUAGUAAGUUAUGUACUUUUACCUUGGGAAUAUAAAACGAUUAUUAUGUUAAUUUUGGAGUUUAAUAGCUUAUGAUUGAUGGUUGCCUUGUAAUUCCCAAGAGGGAGUCACGGCAGGUAAUGUCCCGACCAAAUUAGGUUAAUUCCACUGCUAAGUAUGCUUUAAUAUUUGAAUUAGAGGUCGGGGCGUUACAUUACUUUACUUUUUUAUUCAAACAAGAAAUAUUACGUUUAUUUAUAAUGUUUUCACUUUUAUCAAAAAUCUGACAUUGGGAAAAUGAGAAAUAUUUAAUGUCUAAUGGAUUUAAUUGGUUAAAAUAAUAUUUGGGCACAAAUUCUGAUAGAAUAUUAAUGCAUUAUGUGAUAAUAUAAAAAGAAAUGUAAAGAACAAAAUGAGAUACCCAAAAUGAAAUACGUAAAAAACAAAAAGAGACGGAGGGAGUAUCUCUAAUUCACUUCUUUAUUAC